ACAUAGGGUGCAAGCGUUGUCCGGAUUUAUUGGGCGUAAAGAGUUCGUAGGCGGUUUUUCGCGUCGGAUGUGAAAACUCAGGGCUCAACCCUGAGCCUGCAUUCGAUACGGGAAGACUCGAGGACGGCAGGGGAGACUGGAACUUCUGGUGUAGCGGUGGAAUGCGCAGAUAUCAGAAAGAACACCAAUGGCGAAGGCAGGUCUCUGGGCCGAUCCUGACGCUGAGGAACGAAAGCGUGGGGAGCAAACAGGAUUAGAUACCCUGGUAGUCCACGCCGUAAACGGUGGGCGCUAGUUGUGCGAACCUUCCACGGUUUGUGCGACGCAGCUAACGCAUUAAGCGCCCCGCCUGGGGAGUACGAUCGCAAGAUUA
This 373-nucleotide ribosomal RNA is filed under the name uncultured bacterium. RNAcentral's name for it is "bacterial SSU rRNA". It matches the Rfam family "Bacterial small subunit ribosomal RNA", at positions 525 to 896 of the family's 1533-position model. The record is from RNAcentral.